This 253-nucleotide ribosomal RNA is filed under the name uncultured bacterium. Its description in RNAcentral is "partial 16S ribosomal RNA". It matches the Rfam family "Bacterial small subunit ribosomal RNA", at positions 524 to 776 of the family's 1533-position model. The record is from RNAcentral.
AACGUAGGAGACGAACGUUAUCCGGAGUUACUGGGCGUAAAGGGCGUGUAGGCGGUUUGUUAAGUCUGGCGUGAAAGCUCUCGGCUAAACCGGGAGAGGUCGUUGGAUACUGGCGAACUAGAGGAUGGUAGAGGCGUGUGGAAUUCCGGGUGUAGUGGUGAAAUUCGUAGAUAUUCGGAGGAACACCAGUGGCGAAAGCGGCUCACUGGAUCUCUUCUGACGCUGAGGCACGAAAGCUAGGGUAGCAAACGGG